RNAcentral lists this ribosomal RNA (167 nucleotides) under Bacillus thuringiensis serovar rongseni. Its description in RNAcentral is "partial 16S ribosomal RNA". It matches the Rfam family "Bacterial small subunit ribosomal RNA", at positions 1 to 160 of the family's 1533-position model. The record is from RNAcentral. Lineage: Bacteria; Bacillati; Bacillota; Bacilli; Caryophanales; Bacillaceae.
CUUUAUUGGAGAGUUUGAUCCUGGCUCAGGAUGAACGCUGGCGGCGUGCCUAAUACAUGCAAGUCGAGCGAAUGGAUUAAGAGCUUGCUCUUAUGAAGUUAGCGGCGGACGGGUGAGUAACACGUGGGUAACCUGCCCAUAAGACUGGGAUAACUCCGGGAAACCGG